RNAcentral lists this ribosomal RNA (492 nucleotides) under uncultured bacterium. Its description in RNAcentral is "partial 16S ribosomal RNA". It matches the Rfam family "Bacterial small subunit ribosomal RNA", at positions 29 to 507 of the family's 1533-position model. The record is from RNAcentral.
AGUGAACGCUGGCGGUAGGCCUAACACAUGCAAGUCGAACGGCAGCACAGUAAGAGCUUGCUCUUACGGGUGGCGAGUGGCGGACGGGUGAGGAAUACAUCGGAAUCUACUUUUUCGUGGGGGAUAACGUAGGGAAACUUACGCUAAUACCGCAUACGACCUACGGGUGAAAGCAGGGGUUCUUCGGACCUUGCGCGAUUGAAUGAGCCGAUGUCGGAUUAGCUAGUUGGCGGGGUAAAGGCCCAGCAAGGCGACGAUCCGUAGCUGGUCUGAGAGGAUGAUCAGCCACCCUGGAAGUGAGACACGGUACAGACUCCUACGGGAGGCAGCAGUGGGGAAUAUUGGGCAAUGGGCGAGAGCCUGAUCCAGCAAUACCGCGUGGGUGAAGAAGGCCUUCGGGUUGUAGAGCCCUUUUGUUGGGAAAGAAAAGCAGCAGGUUAAUACCCCGCUGUUUUGACGGUACCCAAAGAAUAAGCACCGGCUAACUUCGUG